This 1064-nucleotide long non-coding RNA is filed under the name Homo sapiens (human). Its description in RNAcentral is "non-protein coding lnc-GPR39-10:2". The record is from RNAcentral. Lineage: Eukaryota; Metazoa; Chordata; Mammalia; Primates; Hominidae.
GCACUUACUGGGAAUUCCUCAUUCAUGGGGAAAAAUUGCAAUCCCUGAUCACCAUCGCCAAUGAGGUUCAACAGGUUACCCACAUCUGCCACAUAGGGUAGGCACACGCUGAGCCAGUCAGUGUAGCGCGCGUGCAGCCCUGGACAUUUAAGGGCAUCACAGACCUGUUAUUGCUCAAUCUCAGGUGGCUGAACGCCACUUGUCCCUCUAAGAAGUUGGGGGAUGCCGACCGCUCCAGGGUCACAUAACUAGUUGGCAUGCCAGAGUCUCGUUCGUUAUUGGAAUUAGCCAGACAAAUCACUCCAGCAACUAAGGCCAUGCACCACCACCCGUGGAAUCGAGAAAGAGCUAUCAAUCUGUCAAUCCUGUCCGUGUCCAGGCUGGGUGAGUUUUCCCAUGUUGAGUCAAAUUAAGCUGCAGGCUCCACUCCUGGUGGUGCCCUUCUGUCAAUUCCUUUAAGUUUCAGCUUUGCAACCAUACUCCCCUCGGAACCCAAAAACCCAAAGACUGGUUUCUUGGAAGCUGCCCAGCGGGUCAUGGGAAUAACACCGCCACAUCGCCAGUUGGCAUCGUUUAUGGUCGGAAUUACAACGGUAUCUGAUCGUCUUCGAACCUCCGACUUUCGUUCUUGAUUAAUGAAAACAUUCUUGGCAAAUGCUUUCGCUCUGUUCCGAAAACCAACAAAAUAGAACUGUGGUCCUAUUCCAUUAUUCCAAGCUGCAGUAUCCAGGCGGCUUGGGCCUGCUUUGAACACUCUAAUUUUUUCAAAGUAAGUGCUUCGGGCCACAGGACACUCAGCUAAGAGCAUCCAGGGGGCACCGAGAGGCAAGAAGCAGGGACGGGCUGUGGCUCGCUAGCCCACCCGCUCCCAAGAUUCAACUACGAGCUUUUUAACUGCAACAACUUUAAUAUACGCUAUUGGAGCUGGAAUUACCACGGCUGCUGGCACCAGACUUGCCCUCCAAUUGAUCCUCAUUAAAAGAUUUAAAGUGCACUCAUUCCAAUUACAGGGCCUAGAAAGAGUCCUGUAUUGUUAUUUUUCGUCACUACCUCCCCCCCAACCG